UAAACUAGGGCCUUUGUUUACAGUUUGUUUAUUCCUCAGUUACUGGGAUUUGACAGGCGCAGUAGGGCAGGGACAGCUGGUAAUCGGCGUGCUGCAGAUGCCAGGGAUCGCAGCCAGUAGUAUCAGCUCCGAGAGGCCGCGCGUCCGCGGCUACGCCCGCUCCCCUCAGACGAGUCUAGACUGUGACAAUGCCAUUAAUGUUAUGUCGGUGGAGCGUUUGAGCCCGGCCGGGCUAAAAAAGAUUUGGUUGCAGGUGUUAAUGGACAUGCAGAGUGAACUGUGCCUUGCAGAGAUCAGCCAGGGUUAGCUAUACAAAAAUACAUACAGUCACGUGGAGGUCUUUUUCAUUAUUCUAACAUCUUGAAACCUGUGGAAAGCAACGAGGGGAUGCGGAACAUUACAGUCUAACAGUAUUGGUAUCUUAAUUUAUGCUAGAAAUCAUGGCACAUUGAAAAUUGAGGUUUCCUUAACAUAAACUACGAUCUACUGUAUGAACGUAAAUAACAAAGUCCAAACUAAAGAGCGUAACAAACAAAUCUCACUUUUGUGACAAGUAACUAAAUAUUCUAUGUUUAGAAUGGUACCUGAAUGCAUCGCUGUUCCUUAUCGUUGUAAAUGGGCUUGACGAGUGUCAGUCUUUUGUACCGAUUAGUGACGGUAAACAACUACGAACUAUCAAGUUUUAGAGGCGGGAACAGAGACGGAGUGACGACAUUCAGGACGAUGAGAAAACGGAAGACGACAGCGAGUGGGAAGAGUUAGCAAACAUAAGAGACGCGGGAGGGAUGGAGUAAUGGACGGCGAGAAGCCACGGGGACGGGCGAAAAUGCUCCGUGUCCUGGGCGACUCCGCUCUUCUGAGGGAUUACAAAGGGUUUAACUGGCGGAUGAAGCCGAGCAAAGUGAAAAUGACACUUUCCGCUGGGACGAGUGAGGUUUGGCCGAGCUUCAGACGCAGAUCGCAGCGAGCAGGUUGGCAGCAGCGAUCGGCCGGUUCACCAGCGCAGGGAACGCUGGGAGUCACGGGCUGUGAUUGGUGGCCCGAAACAGUCCAGGUGGAACCGGGCCGGCCGCUGCUUUUCACUUACUUACGAGCUCUGUUUCCACAAGCGUGAAGGGAGUGACAGGAAACAGGAAGCAAAUGAGCUAUAAUAUCCCUAAUGAAAACAUGCUCUACUGGAAUUCUGUUUUUUACAUUUUUAAUGUGCAUAUGCCCAUGAAUUUAGAUGGAUGAUGAUGAUGAUGAAGAAAAAAAUCAACAUCUUAGAAAAACGAAAUUUGUCAUUUGUCAAAAUGCACUGUAUGUUCUAUAAACAGUGCAUAUAGUAUUUACACACUAGCUAGUUUUCACACUUAUGACAUGAAAUCAGGUCUACAGACUAGAAGAAAACAUUAUAACUUGUUUCCUUUACAGAUAACAAAUCUUUCUCUCCUAUUACCGGUCCAUAUUUGUCUGCUCAUGGCAGGUUCAGAAAUAAAAGGUGUGGGAGGUUUGUGUUGUAUCUGAAG
This 1508-nucleotide long non-coding RNA is filed under the name Betta splendens (Siamese fighting fish). RNAcentral describes it as "lncRNA (ENSBSLG00000020143.1)". Lineage: Eukaryota; Metazoa; Chordata; Actinopteri; Anabantiformes; Osphronemidae. The record is from RNAcentral.